AUUGAACGCUGGCGGCAGGCCUAACACAUGCAAGUCGAACGAGUGGCGGACGGGUGAGUAAUGUCUGGGAAACUGCCCGAUGGAGGGGGAUAACUACUGGAAACGGUAGCUAAUACCGCAUACCAUCGGAUGUGCCCAGAUGGGAGUGGCUAGUAGGUGGGGUAACGGCUCACCGAGGCGACGAUCCCUAGCUGGUCUGAGAGGAUGACGGGCCACACUGGAACUGAGAAACGGUCCAGACCCUUACGGGAGGCAGCAGGGGGGAAUAUUGGAAAAUGGGCGCAAGCCUGAUGCAGCCAUGCCGCGUGUAUGAAGAAGGCCUUCGGUUUGUAAAGUACUUUCAGCGAGGAGGCGUUACUCGCAGAAGAAGCCACGGCUAACUCCGUGCCAGCAGCCGCGGUAAUAC
Molecule: ribosomal RNA, 406 nt
Filed under: uncultured bacterium
Lineage: Bacteria
Description: partial 16S ribosomal RNA
Rfam family: Bacterial small subunit ribosomal RNA
Source: RNAcentral